CUCCUAUAUAAUGGCUCUUUCAUUCACAGUUUUCUCUUUAAUUCAUAAAUAAUCUAUCAUUUUCUCUUCAUUAACAGAAGCUUUUUAAGAUGCAAAUCUUUGUUAAAACUCUCAUUGGAAAGACCAUUACUCUGGAUGUGAAGAGUUCCAACACCAUUGACAAUGUUAAAGCAAAGAUUGAAGACAAAGAAGGAAUUCCCUCAGAUCAACAAAGAUUAGUAUAUGGUGGAAAACAAUUUAAGGAUGAUUAUACACUUGCUGAUUACAAUAUUCAAAAGGAGUCUACAAUUCAUCUUGUCUUGAGUCUUUGUGGAGGUUAUAGGGAAGAUGAAGUUUAUCCUAUCAUUAUUAGGACAUAUAAGGGCGAGAAAUUUAUCUUAGAGGUCAGGACUAGCUUUAAAAUUGAAAAUAUUAUAAAAUCGGUCCAAGAAAAAGGAGAUUAUAAAGAUAGGUUACAUAUGUUGUUAGAUGGUAAAUAUCUACAAUAUGACAAAAGUCUUUCGCAGUAUCAUAUCAGAAAAAAUUGGACACUCCAUCUUAUACGACGAUAGAAAGUAAAUUAUAAAUCCUUAAUUCAUGAAGAAUAUUUUUGUUUUAGAGAAUUCUUAUACUAUUAAUAAUGUAAUACAAAGAUUAAGAAUAUAAAGUAUUGUGUCACUCCUCUAUCAA
Long non-coding RNA from Solanum pennellii, 669 nucleotides. RefSeq lists it as uncharacterized. The transcript has 2 exons. The record is from RefSeq and is a predicted model, not a curated record. Lineage: Eukaryota; Viridiplantae; Streptophyta; Magnoliopsida; Solanales; Solanaceae.